Non-coding RNA from Schizosaccharomyces pombe (fission yeast), 817 nucleotides. The record is from the annotation of a GenBank genome assembly. Lineage: Eukaryota; Fungi; Ascomycota; Schizosaccharomycetes; Schizosaccharomycetales; Schizosaccharomycetaceae.
UUUGAGGAGAAUGUGGGGAAUGAACAUGAAUAACUAGCAUGGAUAAAUAGAUUCGCAAUCAGUGACAUAACGAUAUUUAUGAGCCGUCUAGUUUCACAGAUAAUUCCACCUGGUGGUGCGGAUAAAAGUAGGAUAGAAAAUAACAGAACCAAAACGUUGAAAAACGCAUUGCUUGGCUUAAAGGUCAUAACAUUAUUCUAUUCAAUGGAAAAAAAUGUUUGGUAGUUGAACGAGAUUGCUUCUCAACGCAAUGUUUUAUUUUCACUACGAAAUGUUCUCAUGCUUCUAAUCUAUGACUUCUACUUUACAUGCUGUUGAUUCAGGUGGUGUUUUUGUACCAAAGUGGGGGGUCUAAGUCGUUAGUACUAUUGUCCUUCUUCUGGUUAGUACUGACAGUUUGUAUUACAUUUUAAGUGGGAUCGUAGUAACUAAAUGGGGGUACAUAAAACUGGUACUACUAAACAGAUUUAUCUAAGUUGUGAACAAAUUUCAAUAAACAAACGAAUGUAUAAUCUCAUCGGCAAGAAAAUAAUUUUUUACGUCAAUCACUUAUUUCACUUCUUUAUUUUAUUUUGAAUAUAUCAAAUGUAAUCAAGUUUAGAAACGUAGACGGGUUCAUGUAUGAGCUUUCUUCGUUUCAUUUGCAUAUAUAUCCUUUGUAAGAUUCUGUUACUUUGAAUAUGUUUUCUUUAUAAGUUGUAGAUGGUAAUUGCUACUCUUUAAAUACAAGCUGUCUUCUACAAUAAUUUUAAUUUUACCAGAGUAUUUUUAAUUAUCCUCAUGCGAGUAAUUUUCUAAUUAUGUGGUGUAACAAAAA